RNAcentral lists this ribosomal RNA (880 nucleotides) under Ectopsocus meridionalis. Its description in RNAcentral is "SSU rRNA". It matches the Rfam family "Eukaryotic small subunit ribosomal RNA", at positions 464 to 1290 of the family's 1831-position model. Lineage: Eukaryota; Metazoa; Arthropoda; Insecta; Psocodea; Ectopsocidae. The record is from RNAcentral.
GUAGUGCGAAAAUACGAUGCAGAACUCAUUCCGAGGCUCUGCAAUCGGAAUGAGAACACUCUAAAUCAUUUAACGAGUAUCCAUUGGAGGACAAGUCUGGUGCCAGCACCCGCGGUAAUUCCAGCUCCAAUAGCGUAUAUUAAAGUUGUGCGGUUAAAAAGCUCGUAGUGGAUCUGUGUUUCACGCUGUCGGUUCACCGUUUUGUCGGUGUCUAACUGACAUGUCGUGGUACGUCCUGCCGGUUGGCGACGUGGCGUCUCCCUUAACCGGGUUGCGUUCGCGUUUGCCAGUUCCAAUCCUGUCGCGGUGCUCUUAACCGAGUGUCGAGGCGGGCCGGCACGUUUACCUUGAACAAAUUUGAGUGCUUAAAGCAGGCUCUAUCGCCGGAAAACUGUGUGCAUGGAAUAAUAUAAUAGGACCGCGGUUCUAUUUUGUUGGUUUUCAGAGUCCGAGGUAAUGAUUAGUAGGGACCGGCGGGGGCAUUAGUAUUGCGACGUUAGAGGUGAAAUUCUUGGAUCGUCGCAAGACUAACCUAAGCGAAAGCAUUUGCCAAGGAUGCUUCCAUUAAUCAAGAACGAAAGUUAGAGGUUCGAAGGCGAUCAGAUACCGCCCUAGUUCUAACCAUAAACGAUGCCAGCCAGCGAUCCGGCGAAGUUCCUUCGAUGACUCGCCGGGCAGCUUCCGGGAAACUAAAGCAUUUGGGUUUCCGGGGGAAGUAUGGUUGCAAAGCUGAAACUUAAAGGAAUUGACGGAAAGGCACCACCAGGAGUGGAGCCUGCGGCUUAAUUUGACUCAACACGGGAAAUCUCACCAGGCCAGAACACCAGGUGGAUUGACAGAUUGAGAGCUCUUUCUUGAUUUGUGGGUGGUNGGCAUGCCG